AACGAACGCUGGCGGCAGGCUUAACACAUGCAAGUCGAACGAGAAGCCGAACUUCGGUUUGGUGGAAAGUGGCAGACGGGUGAGUAACGCGUGGGAAUCUACCUAGUGGUACGGAAUAACUCAGGGAAACUUGGGCUAAUACCGUAUGAGCCCGUAAGGGGAAAGAUUUAUCGCCAUUAGAUGAGCCCGCGUCUGAUUAGCUAGUUGGUGGGGUAAAAGCCUACCAAGGCGACGAUCAGUAGCUGGUCUGAGAGGAUGAUCAGCCACACUGGGACUGAGACACGGCCCAG
RNAcentral lists this ribosomal RNA (290 nucleotides) under uncultured bacterium. Its description in RNAcentral is "partial 16S ribosomal RNA". It matches the Rfam family "Bacterial small subunit ribosomal RNA", at positions 29 to 334 of the family's 1533-position model. The record is from RNAcentral.